CCUACGGGUGGCAGCAGUGAGGAAUAUUGGUCAAUGGGCGCGAGCCUGAACCAGCCAAGUAGCGUGAAGGAUGACUGCCCUACGGGUUGUAAACUUCUUUUAUAAAGGAAUAAAGUGAGGCACGUGUGCCUUUUUGUAUGUACUUUAUGAAUAAGGACCGGCUAACUCCGUGCCAGCAGCCGCGGUAAUACGGAGGGUCCGAGCGUUAUCCGGAUUUAUUGGGUGUAAAGGGAGCGUAGGUGGGUUGUUAAGUCAGUUGUGAAAGUUUGCGGCUCAACCGUAAAAUUGCAAUUGAUACUGGCAGGCUGGAGUGCAGUUGAGGUAGGCGGAAUUCGUGGUGUAGCGGUGAAAUGCUUAGAUAUCACGAAGAACUCCGAUGGCGAAGGCAGCUUACUAAACGGCGACUGACAUUGAGGCUCGAAAGUGUGGGUAGCAAACAGGAUUAGAUACCCUAGUAGUC
RNAcentral lists this ribosomal RNA (460 nucleotides) under uncultured bacterium. Its description in RNAcentral is "partial 16S ribosomal RNA". It matches the Rfam family "Bacterial small subunit ribosomal RNA", at positions 338 to 795 of the family's 1533-position model. The record is from RNAcentral.